Molecule: ribosomal RNA, 377 nt
Filed under: uncultured bacterium
Lineage: Bacteria
Description: bacterial SSU rRNA
Rfam family: Bacterial small subunit ribosomal RNA
Source: RNAcentral
AUACGAAGGGUGCAAGCGUUAAUCGGAAUUACUGGGCGUAAAGCGUGCGUAGGCGGUUUUUUAAGUCUGCUGUGAAAUCCCCGGGCUCAACCUGGGAAUGGCAGUGGAUACUGGAAAGCUAGAGUGUGAUAGAGGAUGGUGGAAUUCCCGGUGUAGCGGUGAAAUGCGUAGAGAUCGGGAGGAACAUCAGUGGCGAAGGCGGCCAUCUGGAUCAACACUGACGCUGAGGCACGAAAGCGUGGGGAGCAAACAGGAUUAGAUACCCUGGUAGUCCACGCCCUAAACGAUGCGAACUGGAUGUUGGUCUCAACUCGGAGAUCAGUGUCGAAGCUAACGCGUUAAGUGCGCCGCCUGGGGAGUACGGUCGCAAGACUGAA